Anolis sagrei ordinatus is the source of this 213-nucleotide non-coding RNA. Lineage: Eukaryota; Metazoa; Chordata; Lepidosauria; Squamata; Anolidae. The record is from RefSeq and is a predicted model, not a curated record.
UCCGCCUUGGUGCAGCCUGGCUGGCUGGCUGGAGAGAGAGGGGGGGCUGCCUGGGUGUGGGUCAAGCAAAGGAGGAGGGGGCCCCGAGAUGGAGCAGGAGGGCCCCAAGACGCUGGGCGACCUCCUGGGGACCCUCUACGAGAUGGGCUUCAGCGAGGUUCAGGUCCAGGACGCCCUCCGCGCAGGGUGCCUCAGCGCCCCCGAGGCCGCCGA